Long non-coding RNA from Kogia breviceps (pygmy sperm whale), 668 nucleotides. RefSeq lists it as uncharacterized. The record is from RefSeq and is a predicted model, not a curated record. NCBI's taxonomy places the organism in Eukaryota, Metazoa, Chordata, Mammalia, Artiodactyla, Physeteridae.
ACCAAUUUACAGGAAAUGCAGAAGACAGAGGAAGUAUGUUAAAUGACACCAACAAAAUCCAGACAGUGGAACACUCUACACGAUAAAGGACCUGGCUUCAUUAACAGAUACAUUGCAAGAGUCAAAAAGGAGACGUUCCACAUAAAAAUUCUGAUUUUGGAUUCUUUUGGAUAAAUGGAAAUACCUGGUAACACUAGCCCAGACCUCCACAGUGUAACAACCAGCCGAAUUGAGAAGUGUUACAGGAACAUGCCGUCCAGGGAACCACAGACCCCACCACUCCCUGGUGCCCUUAAAGCCCACUUCCUGUAUCUAUGCUCCAGCCUCAACAUCAGCCUCUGAAACAUAUAUUCAGUGCUGAGUGUGCACAAGUCACGUGGCAGCCCCCAUUGAAUCUGGCAUUGUCCCCUGCCCUCAAGGAGACUCAAGUCCAGGGGGGAGAAAGUGUUUCUGUCUUGGACUGCUCACUCUGGAAGAAGCCAGCUGCCAUGUUGUCAGGACACACAAGCAGCCCUAUCAGAGGUCCAUGUGGUAUGGAACCGAGGCCUCCUGCCAACAGCCAUGAGAGGAGCCAUCUUGCAUGUGGACCCCCAGCUCCAGUCAAGCCUUCAGAUGACAGCAGCCCCAUUCAACAUCUUGAGACCUUGAGCCAGAACAACCCAGCUCAG